Long non-coding RNA from Callithrix jacchus (white-tufted-ear marmoset), 12268 nucleotides. RefSeq lists it as uncharacterized. The record is from RefSeq and is a predicted model, not a curated record. NCBI's taxonomy places the organism in Eukaryota, Metazoa, Chordata, Mammalia, Primates, Cebidae.
GCGUCACAAGCAGCGGUUUCUGGUGACGUCACGGGGGGGACGACUCCGGUGGUCUGAAGGGUGGCAGGGAUUAGGUUCUGUCAGAGUCCUGGAGUUGUUUACCUUUGUACCUCUGGAGCAGCAGCCAACCAAAGCUGAGAACAGGAAGCUUUGAGUACAAUUUGAAAAGAAAGAAAGAAACAACGACAACCCUAUAAUAUCAUGGGGAAAUGAGGAAGAACAACCUUUACUGUACCUGACGAGGGGUUCUUUCGGAUUUACUCCUGCACCACUCCCAGUCUGAAAGAUCUGGUUUCUGACUCUCUUCAUGAGACAGUCUUCUUUCUGGCCCUUCAAAAAAGAUGCCACUGCAUAUGCGUUCUGCCUGCAGUUGAUGAUGCAGCCACAGGGCAAGUGGGUCCAGCGUUUGGACAAGACAAACACUGGGGUUACAGUGGUGGCCAGAAGGGUAAGUAGAAAGCUGAGUGUCUCCAAGGGAAGGCUCUGAAACCCCACGACGUUCUGGACCGCCAUGUGCAUCUGCAAGGGCAAGAGAACUUUAGACCUAACCCAAAAUCACAUUAUAUACUUCCCAAGCCUUUUCCCCAUGCACGCUGCCUCAGUUCCCUUUCCAGCUCCCUCUCCUGAUUUGAGAGCUCGAGCUGGCGCCCUGUCCUUGGGGGUGGGCUCCUGGGAACGGCGGGACGCACCCCGCUAAGCCAGACAGCACAGGCUUGGGAGGGGUUUCUGCUUUUGAGUGCCGGGUCUGCGCCCGCUGCCUAUUCAAGACUCCACCAGAAAGACACAGUCUACAACGUGGAGGACGCUAGCUGGGAAACAGGAGUCCGUGAAACCUGCAUCUGGUUCUCAACAUGGCCUUUGUCGCCUCCCUGGACCCUCACCUCUGCCCACGCGCUUGUCACAGCGGGGCGCCACUCUGCCAUCUCUUAUUUGGAUUCGGCUUCCUCCUGGAGAGAGGAACAAAAGCCUGUUCUGUCGCCUCUCUUCUCCCUCCACAACUCAUCUCGCCUCUCUCCCGCCCUGCUGAGGAUGGGCGUCGUCCUCACUAGGCGGGAAUGGAACGGGGAGAAAGGGAUUUAAUUCCCUCUCCUUUUCUGAAUACUGUAAGAUUUUGCUGUGUGAGUCAAUAUCCUUGGCCAACACCGAUCUGCAAAACUAAGUAGCCUGCUACAGAAAGCGCUCCCCACGCCCCUGACUUUUGAAAGGAGAAGCAUCUAGUAGUUAAGGCUUUACGGCCAGCUAGCCCUGCCUUCCUCUAAGUGCGUCUCUAAAAUCCAGCGAGAUACACUUGGAAGCGGACUUCGCUGUGCGUCUCUUGGUGACUCCCCAAACCAGCGACGCUGGUCCCAACACUCAUUUACACUGUCUGGCACACACACUCGCGCUUUGUGAGCAACUGCACUUUUACCAUCAUGGGCAGCCAAAGGACGACUUUGGUAAGCGCUAGGAUCAAAGCGAAGCGCUUCUGCGCUAUGCUCACGGUGUAGCUCCUGGUGCCAUAGGGAGUUCCCCGGUUCUCACGCCUGCAGCCUCCAGCCCCCGCGGCAGCUGGUGCACCCAGUCCGAACACCGGGUCCAAGGUCGGGGAGCAUCCCCCAGAGCGCGGCAGACUCGGGGCCGGAGCAUCCUCCGGGGACAGGGAAAGUACUCUCCUCAUAGUAGGAGGGGUCCCAGGAGUGGAAACUCCACGGGAAAUUUCCUGGUAGUUGGCGUGGAGUCUCGGCGGCUCCUCUGAACACAGCAACCGGUAAGUGAGGGGGACCGAGAGGCCCACGAGGACUCCGAAGGCCAAAGCGUACACGGUAGAAAGCAGCAGCACGUAGGAGCUGGAGCAGUCCACCAGGCAGCCCCAGGGCGUGCGCACGAAGGCGCCCCAGCCGCACAGCGGGAGCGCGGAGAGCAGCAGACUGGCUGUCCAUACCGUCAGCACCACGCUGACCACCUGGCCCGAUCUUCUGGAGGCUGCCUGGCUCCCCACAUCCCUGUGCAUCGUGUAAAAGUUGUAAGAGACUAGGAGAGUAGCCUUCAAGUUGCUAGAGAGGCCCUGGCAUAAAUACAAUAAGGCAGAGGUGGUGCACAGAAAUUGGAAGUAACCGGGGAACUCGUUUGGCCACUGCAAAAACAUGAAGAUGGUCACCGAUAAGACGCUCAUAAGAUCAUCCACAGACCAGGAAGCCACAAGCAUGGACACAACGGUUCUGUUCUGCAUUUUCAGCAGAGAAAUUAGUGAAUAAAUGCUGCCCACCAAGGCUGCAAAAGUCAGGAGACAUGUCAAGCAAAACAGAUAGAUAUUCAGAGUUCCUGGAGGAUUUAAAAGGUCCGUAGAAUUAUGAUUCUCUUUCCAAAGGCUAGAGUCAUUUGUUGAUAAGUUACUGAGAAAUAAAGACAUUGUCCUUGGUCAAUAUUUAAUUUCCCUUAUCAACUAGUCUGAUCAUUUUCUCAAAAGAAAGACCGGCUGCUGGAAAUCAGAUUUCAUUUCUCCUACCAAGUUCCCCUCUAGAGAGUCUCCUGGUCAGUCCUGCAGGAAAUGGUCAGGCAUGUCUCCUUUAGAUCUGACUCAAGCUAUAUUUAAAAAUUAGGUUCCAUUUCAAGCAUAAAAAAAAACUGAACAAACAACUUUUCAACAUUCCAAUUAAAAACAAAGCAAAAACUCCUUCCCACCAUCAAGUUUCAGGCAAGAAAGCAAAAAAACUCUUCAGGUACAUUGAAAACCAAUGAUGUCUGGAUCCUUUAGGGUUCUUCUUACGGAGCAAAGUAGCUUGUAGCUUGAGAUAAUCAAACCCUGUUCACUUUUAAGAGCGGUAAAAUGAUGCAUUUGAUUCCAGAGCUGGCAGGAGAUGGUCAGGUAGGUUUCAGCUUUGAAGGUGAAAAGGGGCGGAGCGGGGGACAGAGAGAGAGAGCGCGAGUGCGAGCCAGUCAGAGGGAGCUUGUGCACAGAAUCCCGUCUGAACCGCUGUUCUUCAAUCAGCCUGUGAUCCUCGGAGCUGCAGGAAGGAGGAGUCAGCUCCAAGCAGGAAAAAAAGGGAGGGGAGUUCAGUGUUGAACAAAAUGAUAUACGUAUAUCUUAGCCUGCCUCUUUCAAAGCAAGAAACUGUGUCCUUGCUAAGCUUCCGGUUUGGUUUAACAUGUAAACCAGCCCAAAUACUUGCUCAGGCUUGAUGUGAACUACAAGUUUCACCUGUGAGAGGUCAAGCUACUCCAGUAACUCAGGGACUGCUUUUAUUCAUAUCUAGACUUCCUGCUUCAUAAUCCAUUGGAGGAAGAAUAUCAUCAAUGCCAUGUAUAAGACUAAGAUAUGUCAUAUUUCGUUUAAAAAAUUAGUGUGCUUAAGAUUGUCAUUAUAGUCCUCAUUACUCUAAAAAGGAUUAUGCAGAAUCUUUGGAUAGAGUCACACUAGCUUUGGUUAUUUAUUUAUAACUUUAUUUUCUGUCAGUGGCAUCAAGGAAGCAGGCUGUCAUUUGAAUAAAUGAUAUGGCUAACUAUCCAUAAAGUUGGAUGAUAUAUAGAGCCUAAAAGGAUCAUCCCACAGCAAACGUUUUUAACCAGUGUAUUUGAGACAUACAAUAGUUGUUUCUCUGAAUGGUCAAUUUUGCAAGAUGAGUGAUUUAGCAAAGAAGUAACUGACACAAGAGUACUUCUGGUUCAGCAUUUCCCAGGAUGCUUUAGGGUAGCAUUCUCCUCAGCUCAGCCUCAUGACCAUAUGGCUACAUUCUCCCACAUAGUGCUGGAGGUCUAAAUGGAAAUGGGAAGGAAAAGGAAAAAGUUGAUAUGAGAAUGAUUUAAUAACUGGAAGUAGUAAUAGCACUUCGAUCAUUCUUAUCAUUUAUUUCAAUGAUAACUGAAGUAUCAUUUUGAACCUGAAUCUGUUCAAGUAGAACAUGAUUACAUUAGUCAUUGCCAGCCACACCCUUCAAUAAACACAGCAGGCAUUUCACUUAUCAUUAUAUGUUGAUUGUUUUAUUUUCCCCCUCAUUCAUUCAGCAAAUGGAAACAAAAACCACAUGUAACCGCUAGUUCAGCUCUUUAGCUCUCCCUACUGAGAGUACAGACCAUGCAUGGCUAUGUGAGUAAGAACGGUUGGGCAUACAUUCAUUUUCAAAUAAUGUUGAUUCAGAAAGUGUGAUGAAAAACAAAUCUUAUUUUUGAACAUUUCAAAGUUCUGUGAAAAGCCAUUCUGCUGCUUCUCACAAACCUUAUUCUUUCUUGCCAUAACAAAAAUAUUAUUCUUCAAUAUGGUAUUGAGUCCUGAAUUUUCAGUUAGGUUGAAUAAUAAGUCUCAGAUUGUUAAUAUACAAUAAAUAGAAAUUAAUAAUAGCUACUGUAGUACCAUUUCAUGUCUGAGAACAUUUCCCCUAUUAUUAAUAUCAUUUUUGGGUUUUCCAUUAAAUAUAAAUUUGGAAAAGGGAUACUUAACCACCAUGUUGUACUGUUCUCUGGGAUAUUACAGAAGAAGAAAGAAUGUUUAGCACACUUCCAAAGGUUGGUAGUAGAACUGCAGCCAGGAGGGAGCUAGUAGAGAUAACUGAAUUUAACUCCAGACUGUGCUAUUGCUGGAUAGGUAACCUAGUACAAAAAUUCUUGUACUUUCUCUGGGUGUCUGUUUCUGCUCUGUAAAAUAAAGAGGGGUCUUAAUCCAUUUUGUGCUAAAACAGAAUACCACAGACUGUGAAAUUAAUGAAGAAAAAAAUUUCUCACAGUUCUGGAGGCUGGGAAAUCCAAUAGCAAGGUGUCAGCAAGGGUCUUCUUGCUGCAUCACCCCAAGGUAGAAGGUAAAAGGAAAAGAGAGCAUGAGAGAAAAAGAUAGAUAGAUAGAUAGAUAGAUAGAUAGAUAGAUAGAUAAUAGAUAGAUAGAUAGAUAGAUAGAUUGCAAGAGGGGGAUGAACUCACUUUUUCUUUCCUUUUUUUUUUUUUAAGAGCCAGGAUCUCGCUCUUUCACCCAGGUUGGAGUGCAGUGGCACCAUCUGGCUCACUAAACCUCCAAUUCCUGGGCUCAAGUGAUUCUCCUAACUCAGCUUCCCAAGUAGUUGGAACUACGGGUUCGAGAUACCAUGCCAAGUUAUGUUUUAUUUUAUUUUAUUUUAUUUUUUGUUUUUUAUUUUUGUAUUUUUUAGAGGUGAGGUCUCACCUGGCCUCAAGUGAUCCACCCACCUCAGCCUCCUAAGGUGUUGGGAUUAUAGGUGUGAGUCUCUGCACAUGGUCUCACUUUUAUAACAAGCCCACUUUGUAACUAACACACUUGUGAAGUAAUGGCAUUAAUUCACUUAUGAGAGCAGGACCCUCAUGAUCAAAUCAUCUAUUUUUAGGAUGCACUUUCCAAGGCUGUUGCACUUGUAUUAAGUUUUAAACACAUGAACUUUGUGGAACACAUUCAAAGCAUAGUGAGGUGUUAAACUAGAUUAUUUUUAGAGACUUUUCCAGUUCUAAAAUUAAAUAAUACAAUUUUUAGAAGUUCAAGUUAACCUCAUUUCUAUUUUCUUUUUCGCCUACUUCACAAUAAUCAACAUUGUCUUCUAAUAAGAGUUGGAAGCCAGCAAGAGCUAAUACUUGGAUUCUGCAUGAUUUUUCUUUCUCUGAUAGCAUGGAGGCUCUUGUCUAUAGGACGUAGUAUAAGAUUCAAGCAAUCUGAAAUCUCUGAGCCAACUGAGAGAUUAUGGCUUGUCCUGGAGAUCUGUGUGAACCUAAAGCAAGUUUCGUAUGAAUGAGAGGUAAAUUAUGUUGUGUCAAUCACUGAAUUUUGGGAGUUGAUUGUUACUGGAUAAUAUCCUAGCUCAUCCCAAUAUUGUUAGAGAUAUUAUUGCUCCCCUUUCAUAGGUGAGAAAACAGAUCCAUGAGAGAUUAAUUGAUUUUCCCAAAGGCACACAUUUAUUAAAUGGUGGAGUCAGAUUUUAAAAUUGUAGUUGAGUUCUGCAUUCUUAAUCAUAACAGAUACAUAUUUUCUUUAUUUUAAUUAAUUUAUUUUUUUAAUUGUACUUUAGGUUCUGGGGUACAUAUGCAGAUCAUACAGGAUUGUUGCAUAGGUACACACAUGGCAAUGUGGUUUGCUGCCUCCAUUUCCCCAUCACCUACAUUUGGCAUUUCUCCCCAUGUUAUCACUCCCUGACCUCCCCACCCCACAGCUGUCCCUUCCUUGGCCCCCUGCAACAGACCUCAGUGUGUGAUGCUCCCCUCCCAGUGUCCCUGUGUUCUCAUUGUUCACCACCCGCCUAUGAGUAAGAACAUGAGGUGUUUGAUUUUCUGUUCUUGUGUCAGUUUUCUGAGAAUGAUAGUUUCCAGAUUCAUCCAUUUCCCUACAAAGGACAGGAUCACAUUUUCCUUGUCUAGUCUAUUGUCAAUGGGCAUUUGGGUUGCUUCCAGGUCUUUGCUAUUGUAAAUGGUGCCUCUAUGAACAUACAUGUGCAUGUGUCUUUAUAAAAGAACGGUUUAUAAACCUUUGGUCUCAUGUAUGUCUUCUUCUGAAAAGUGUCUCUUCAUAUUCUUUGCCCACUUUUGGUUGGGCUUGUUUUUUCUUAUAAAUCUGUUUUAGUUCUUUGUAGAUUCUGGAUAUUGGCCCUUUGUCAGAUGGGUAGAUUGCGAAAACUUUUUCCCAUUCUGUUGGUUGCCGGUUCACUCUAAUGAUUCUUCUGCUGAACAGAAGCUGUGUAGUUUAAUUAGAUCUCAUUUGUCUAUUUUGGCUUUUGUUGCCAAUGCUUUUGGUGUUUUAGUCAUGAAUUCCUUGCUAUGCCUAUGUCCUGAAUGGUUUUGCCUAGAUUUUCUUCUAGGGUUUUUAUGGUGUGAGGUCUUAUGUUUAAGUCUUUAAUCCAUCUGGAGUUAAUUUUAGUGUAAGGUGUCAGGAAGGGGUCCAGUUUCUGCUUUGUGCACAUUGCUAGCCAGUUUUCCCAACACCAUUUAUUAAACAGGGAAUCCUUUCCCCAUUGCUUGUUUUUGUCAGGUUUGUCAAAGAUCUGAUGGUUGUAGAUGUGUGGCAUUGCCUCCAAAGCCUCUGUUCUUUUCCUUUGGUCUAUAUCUCUGUUUUGGUACCAGUACUGUGCUGAUUUGAUUACUGUAGCCUUGUAGUAUAGUUUGGAGUCAGGUAGCAUGAUGCCUCUGGCUUUGUUAUUUUUGCUUAGGAUUGUCUUGGCUAUGCAGGCUCUCUUUUGGUUACAUAUGAAGUUUAAGGUGAUUUUUUUCCAGUUCUGUGAAGAAGGUCAUUGAUAGCUUGAUGGGGAUAACAUUGAAUCUAUAAAUUACUUUGGGCAGUAUGGCUAUUUUCAUAAUAUCUAUUCUUCCUAACCAUGGGCAUGGAAUGUUUCUCCAUCUGUCUGUGUCCUCUCUUAUUUCAUUGAGCAGUGGUUUGUAUUUCCUCUUGAAGAGGUCCUUUACAUCCUUUGUUAGUUGUAUUCCUAGGUAUUUUAUUCUCUUUGUAGCAAUUGUGAAUGGGAAUUUGCUCAUGAUUUGGCUCUUUGUUAGUCUGCUGUUGGUGUAUAGAAGUGCUUAUGAUUUCUGCACAUUGAUUUUGUAUCCUGAGACUUUGCUGAAGUUGCUUAUAAGUUUAAGGAGAUUUUGGGCUGUGAUGAUAGGGUCUUCUAAAUAUAUAAUCAUGUUGUCUGCAAAUAGAGACAGUUUGACUUCCUCAUUUCCUAAUUGAAUACCCUUUAUUUUUUUUUUUCCUUCCUAAUUGCUUUGGCUAGAACUUCCAACACUGUAUUGAAUAGGACUGGUGAGAGAGGGCAUUCUUGUCUAGUGCCAGAUUUCAAAGGGAAUGCUUGCAGUUUUUUCCCAUUCAGUAUGAUAUUGGCUGUAGGUUCAUCAUAAAUAGCUUUUAUUAUUUUGAGAUAUGUUCCUUCAAUACCUAGUUUAUUGAGAGUUUUUAGCAUAAAGAGUUGUUGAAUUUCGUCGAAGGCCUUCUCUGCAUCUAUUGAGAUAAUUGUAUGAUUUUUGUCUUUGGUUCUGUUUAUAUGGAGGAUUACGUUUAUAGGCUUGCUUAUAUUGAACCAGCCUUGCAUCCCCAGGAUGAAGCCUGAUUGAGAUGGAUAAGCUUUUUGAUGUGCUGUUGUAGUCAGUUUGCCAGUAUUUUAUUGAAGAUUUUUGCAUUUAUGUUCAUCAUGGAUAUUGGCCUGAAGUUUUCUUUUUUUGUUGAGUCUCUGCCAGGUUUUGGUAUCAGAAUGAUAUUGAUCUCAUAAAAUGAUUUGGGAAGGAUUCCCUCUUUUUGUAUUGUUUGGAAUAGUUUUAGAAGGAAUAGUAUCAGCUCCUCUUUGUAUGUAUGGUAGAAUUCAGCUGUGAACCCAUCUGGACUUGGACUUUUUUUGGUUGGUAGGCUAUUAAUUGCUGCCUCAACUACAGCCCUUGUUAUAGGUCUGUUCAAAGUUUCAAAUUCUUCUUGGUUUAGGUUUGGGAGGGUGCAAGUGUCCAGGAAUUUACCCAUUUCUUCCAGGUUUACUGGUUUAUGUGCAUAGAGUUGUUUGUAAUAAUCUCUGAUAGUAGUUUGUAUUUCUGUGGAAUUGGUGAUGAUAUUCCAUUUUCAUUUUUAUUGAAUCUAUUUGAUUAUUCUCCCUUUUCUUUUUUUUAUUAAUCUGGCUAGCAGACUGUCUAUUUUGUAUAUCUUUUCAAAAAAACCAGCUCCUGGAUUUAUUGAUUGUUUGAAGGUUUUUUUUUUUUUUGUCUCUAUCUCCUUCAGUUCUGCUCUGAUCUUAGUUAUUUUUUGUCUUCUGCUAGCUUUUGAGUUUUUUUCUGAUCUUGCUCCUCUAGCUCUUUCAAUUUUGACAAUAGCAUGCUGAUUUUAGAUCUUUCCUCAAUUCUCUGGUGGGCAUUUAUUGCUAUGAAUUUCCUUCUAGACACUGCUUUAAAUGUGUCCCAGAGAUUCUCCUAUGUUGUGUCUUUGUUCUUGUUGGUUUCAAAGAAAGUCUUUAUUUCUGCCAUGAUUUCAUUGUUUAUUCAGUCAACAUUCAGGAGCAGGUUGUUGUUUCCAUGAAGAUGUGGAAUUCUGAGUUGGUUUCUUAAUUCUGAAUUCUAAUUUGAUUACACUGUGGUCUGAGAGACAGUUUGUUAUGAUUUCUGUUCUUUUGCAUUUGUUGAGGAGUGAUUUAGUUCCAAUGAUGAGGUCAGUUUUGGAGUAGGUGCAAUGCAGUGCUGAGAAUAAUGUAUGUUCUGUGGAUUUGGGCUGGAGAUUUCUGUAGACAUCCAGUAGGUUCACUUGGUCCAGAUCUGAGUUCAAGUUUUGAAUAUUCUUACUAAUUUUCUGUCUAAUUGAUCUGUCUAAUAUUGACAGUGGAGUGUUAAAGUCUCCCAUUAUUAUUGUGUGGGAGUCUAAGUCUCUUUGUAGGUCGUUAAGAACUUGCUUUCUGUACCUGAGUGCUCCUGUAUUGGGUGUGUGUAUAUUUUGGAUGGUUAGCUCUUCUUGAUGCAUUGCUCCUUUUACCAUUAUGUAAUGCCCUUCUCUUUUGAUCUUUGUUGGUUUAAAGUCUAUUUUAUCAAAUACUAGGAUUGCAACUCCUGCUUUACUAGCCCUCCGUUUGCUUGGUAGGUCUUCCUCAAUCCCUUUAUUUUUAGCCUAUGUGUGUUCUUGCACCUGAGAUGGGCUUCCUGAAUAUAGUACACCGAUGGGUCUUUCUUUUUAUCCAAUUUGCCCAUCUGUGUCUUUUGAUUGGGGCAUUUAGCCCAUUUACAUUUAAGAUUAAUAUUGUUAUAUGUGAAUUUGAUCCUGCCAUUUUGAUGCUAGCUGGAUGUUUUCCCAUUAGUUGAUGCAUUUUCUUCAUUGUGUCGAUGGUCUUCACUAUUUGGUACAUUUUAGGAGUGCUGGUACUGGUUUGUUCCUUUCCUUGCUUAGUGCUUCUUUCAGGACCUCGUGUAAGGCAGGCCUGAUGGUGACGAAAUCUCUCAGCAAUUGCUUAUCUGUUAAGGAUUUUAUUUCUCUUUCACGUAUGAAGCUUAGUUUGGCUGGAUAUGAAAUUCUGGGUUGAAAGUUCCUUUCUUUAAGGAUGUUGAAUAUUGGCCCCCACUCUCUUCUGGCUUGGAGGGUUUCUGUGGAGAGAUCCGUUGUGAGUCUGAUGGGCUUCCCUUUGUGGGCAACCCGAUCUUUCUGCGUGCCCAUAGCAUUUUUUCCUUCAUUUCAACCCUGGUGAAUCUGAAGAUUAUGUGCCUUGGGGUUGCUCUUCUUGAGGAAUAUCUUUGUGGUGUUCUCUGUAUUUCCUGGACUUGAAUGGUGGCCUGCCUUGCUAGGUUAGGGAAGUUCUGGAUAAUAUCCUGAAGAGUGUUUUCCAGCUUGGAUUCAUUCUCUCGGUAACAUUCAGGUCCAUUUAUCAAAUGUAGAUUAGGUCUUUUCACAUAAUCCCGUAUUUCUUGGUGGUUUUGUUCAUUUCUUUUCACUCUUUUUUCUCUAAUCUUGCCUUCUGAUUUUAUUUCAUUGAGUUGAUCUUCAAUCUCUGAUAUCCUUUCUUCUGCUUGUUCAAUUCAGCUAUGGAAACUUGUGUAUGCUUUGUAAAAUUCUCAUGCUGUUUUUCAGCUCCAGCAGGUCGUUUAUAUUCUUCUCUAAGCUGUUUAUUCUAGUUAGCAUCUCAUCUAACCUUUUUUCUAGGUUCCUAGUUUCUUUGCAUUGCAUUAGCCUGUGUUCUUUUAACUCUUAGAAGUUUGUUAUUACUGACCUUCUGAAGCCUAUUUCUGUCAAUUCAUCAGACUCAGUCUUCCACUAUCUUUGAUCCCUAGCUGGUGAGGAGUUGUGAUCCCUUGGAGGAGGGGAGGUGUUCUGGUGUUUGGUGUUUUCAUCCUUUUUUCUCUGGUUUCUUCCUAUCUUAGUGGCUUUAUCUACCUGUGGUCUUUGUAGAUGGUAACUUUUGGAUGGGGUCUCUGAAUGGAUGUCCUUUUUGUUGAUGUUGAAGAUUAUUUCUUUCUGUUUCUUAGUUUUCCUUCUAACAGUCAGGCCCCUCUGCUGCAGGACUGCUGGAUGUCCACUCCAGACUCUACUUGCCUGGAGAUCACCCGUGGGGGCUGCAGAAAAGUAAGGGUUGCUGCCAGUUUCUUCUGUUAUCUUUGUCCCAGAAGGGUACCAGCCUGAUGUCGGCCUGAGCUCUCUUUUAUGAGGUGUCACUUUGUGUAUAUGGGUGUCAGGGAGCUGCUUGAGGAGCCAGUCUAUCCCUUAUAGGAGCGCAAGUGCUGUGCUGGGAACUCCUUUGUUCCAUGCAGGGCUGCUGGGCAGGUACCUUUAAGUCUACUGCAGCAGAACUCAUAACCACCUCUUUUCCCGGGUGCAACAGAUACAUAUUUUGUAGUAACUCCCUUUAAGCUCUUGGAAACACUUUCAAUGAAUGUUGAUAAUCAUAAAGUUUUAUAUCUGCUUUCCCGUCUUGCAAAGAAUGUUUGAAAUUUCUCAUUGUAUAAAAUUUUAAUUUUCAGUAUUUUACCAGCUUUUAUGUUUUAUAAUGUAUUUUAUAUAUAUCUAUAGCAUAUAUAAAUAUGUGUUUUAUAAUGCAUUAUAUGCAUUAUAUAUAUACAUUAUUAUAUAUGAGUGAUGAGUGUCUUGAAAAUUGUAAACCCUCUCUUAGCCAUAAUUUUAUUUUUUUUUAAAUAUCCUCCUGAGGGGGAAAAAACACUCCCAAUGCCUUUUGAAUAACCAUAAUAACUUUUAGGAGACCAUGAAGAAAAAUUUCGAAGAAGCUUCUUUGUGCCUUAAAAAUUUUUACUCAGUUCCUGUCUGUGAAUUUUUGUUUCUCUGCCUCGCCUAUAAUAGAACUUUAUGUCUUCCAUGAUUGUAAAUUCUGUCUUUAAAUUUGUUAACGCAAAUUUACAUUAAUUGAAAUAAAAGUUAUGGUUAUGCCAGAACAGCUUAGGUGAAGACAUUUAUUUUUAUUCCACUGCUUCUUUGGCUACUUUAAAACAUGUACUAUAUUGUUUGACAGUUUGUAAUGCCAUAUUACAAACUGUCAAACAACCUACAGAGUGCUAAAUUACAGAAAUUUUACAGAAAUAAAUUGCAAACAAUUUAAACAACCUACAGAAAAUUACAUGGCAAUAAUUCCAUUAGGCUUGUAGUUUAUGCAGCCCUGAUGUAAUUGUAUCUUUGCAAAGCACUACAGGCAACUUACUUCUCUAAAAGUUCGUACUAUAUCUGAAAGUUCUCAGAGCGUGAUAUCUGAAAAUCCUCAAAGAAUAGGAAAUAGUGUAAAAAGUUAUAGUUGAAUAUUAUAAAAUAGCAUUCUUAGAAAUGUGGGGUUUGACAAUAAAAACGUUAUGAUGGGACCAAAUGAAAUGAUUUAAUUUUGUUUUAUGAAAAUAAAUAAAACGUCACAGAUAAAGUUAA